AUUUUCAUUCAUUUGUAUAUUAAAUAGGAGUAAUAGAUUGAAACGUCAUACAAUGGCGAGGCUCAUGAAAUCACAUGUGAGGGUCUUCUGUAUAAGCUUUCUAUUGGUGUUUGUGUGUUAUUGGUGUGAAAAAAAUGAACACCAGCACACGCAAGCAUUUGGAGUUCCAUCGCCACCGAAAGACUGUACUCCACAUUGUUUUGAAUCACAAAAUACAAAGGGGUGGGUUUGUUGCGAUAAAACCUAUGGUAGUAAAGCGUCAUGCGAGGAAGUCUGUAAGACAAAGAAAAGUUGUUGUUAGGUACAAAAAUAACUGGUAAUGUUAAGGAUUAGUUAUAUUACAUAAUAAAGAUUAAAAAUAUAAUGUCAAUCUACACACUGACGUUGUUAAA
Molecule: long non-coding RNA, 392 nt
Organism: Helianthus annuus (common sunflower)
Lineage: Eukaryota; Viridiplantae; Streptophyta; Magnoliopsida; Asterales; Asteraceae
Exons: 2
Source: RefSeq, a predicted model, not a curated record